RNAcentral lists this ribosomal RNA (320 nucleotides) under Clostridioides difficile. RNAcentral describes it as "partial 16S ribosomal RNA". It matches the Rfam family "Bacterial small subunit ribosomal RNA", at positions 1223 to 1533 of the family's 1533-position model. Lineage: Bacteria; Bacillati; Bacillota; Clostridia; Peptostreptococcales; Peptostreptococcaceae. The record is from RNAcentral.
UGCUACAAUGGGUAGUACAGAGGGUUGCCAAGCCGUAAGGUGGAGCUAAUCCCUUAAAGCUACUCUCAGUUCGGAUUGUAGGCUGAAACUCGCCUACAUGAAGCUGGAGUUACUAGUAAUCGCAGAUCAGAAUGCUGCGGUGAAUGCGUUCCCGGGUCUUGUACACACCGCCCGUCACACCACGGGAGUGGAAGACGCCCGAAGCCGAUUAGCUAACCGUUGGGGAGAAGUCGUCGAAGGUGUAAUCAAUAAUUGGGGUGAAGUCGGUACAAGGGAGCCGUAGCGGUAGGGGCGGCUGGAUCACCUUCUUGCUAAGGAGA